AUAAAUAAAAAAUAAUAAUAACACAUAUAUUAUAUAUUAUUAAAUUAUAUAUAUAUAUAUAUAAAUAAAUUUAUAAUAAAAAUCUACUCAAUUUUAAAAUUUUGUAUUUUAAAAGAAAUAAAAAUUAUUAAAAAGUAAAAUUUUAUAUUUGUACCUUGUGUAUAAUGGCUUAGUAAGUUAAAAUUAAAAAUAAUUUAACCCGAAUUUAUUCCGAGCUAAUUAUUUUUUGUUUAGAACUCAUUUUAUUAUGUAUCAAAAUAAUAAAAAAAAAAAAAAUUAGUAGCUACAUACUUUUCGCGGAUAACUAUAGCUGGUUUUUUAUUAAUUCCAUCUAAGUGGACUAAAUUAAUUAUUAUUAUAAAAAAUAAAGGUUAAGCUUUAUUUUAAAUACUAUGUAAUAAUUAAAUUUUAAUUUUUGUAAUAUUAAAAGUUUAUAUCUAAUUUUAUUGUUUUAUACCUAAAAUUCUUUUCUCUUUUUAAUUUAAAUUUAUAUAUGUAAUAAAUAAUAAAAAAUUUUUAUUAAUUUUCUUUAAAAUAUACUCUUCUAAGAUAAGUAUUUAAAUUUAAUUAUUAUAAUAAUAUAAUAUAAAUUAUAUUAAUCAUAAACUAACUAUUUUAAAAUAAGGAACUCGGCAAACUAAAAUUUCGACUGUUUAUCAAAAACAUAGCUUUUUGAAUAAUUAAUAAAAAGUAUUUUCUGCCCUAUGAAUUUAAUUUAAAUGGCCGCAGUAUCUUAACUGUGCAAAGGUAGCAUAAUCAUUUGCCUUUUAAUUAAAGGCUUGUAUGAAUGAAUUUACGAAAAUUUAACUGUCUCAUUUUAACAUAUAAAACUUAAUCUUAAAGUGAAAAAGCUUUAAUUAAUUUAAAGGACAAGAAGACCCUAUUGAGCUUUAUUCUAAAUUAUUUAAAAACAAUAUAUUUAAAUAAAAUUACAAAUAAUUAAAAUUUAGUUGGGGCGACUAAAGAAAAAUAAUAUCUUCUUUUUACUAUUAGGAAAAUAAUCCUUUUUUAAGAUCUAAUAUAUUAAUUAAUAAAAAAAGCUACCAUAGGGAUAACAGUCUAAUCUUUCUUUAAAGUUCAAAUUAACAGAAAGGAUUGGCACCUCGAUGUUGGCUUAAGAUUCCUUUAUUAUGUAGCAGUAAUAAUAGUAGGUUUGUUCAACCUUUAAAAUCUUACAUGAGCUGAGUUCAGACCGGCGUAAGCCAGGUUAGUUUAUAUCCUUAAAUAAAAUCUAUAGUUGUUAGUACGAAAGGACCACAAUUAUUAAAAAUUUUAAAUUUAUAAGAAAUCAUAUAAUUUUAUUUAAUUUA
This 1310-nucleotide ribosomal RNA is filed under the name Galathealinum brachiosum. RNAcentral describes it as "large subunit ribosomal RNA". The stretch from base 608 to 1310 matches the Rfam family "Eukaryotic large subunit ribosomal RNA", at positions 1891 to 3108 of the family's 3401-position model. Lineage: Eukaryota; Metazoa; Annelida; Polychaeta; Sabellida; Siboglinidae. The record is from RNAcentral.